CCCUAUGGGGUGCAGCAGGCGGGGGCGACCAGGGGAUACAUAGCCAACAGCGGGUCGCAGGUGACCAUAACCCUGCCGCCAUCGCCGGCCGUCGGCGAUCUCAUAGAGAUUGCCGGCAGCGGCUCCGGCGGCUGGAGGAUUGCCCAGAACGCGGGACAGUCGAUACAUUCACAGGAUUUUAUUAUUAAGGAUAGUUCUAUCGGUGUCACCUGGGCCACCCGUGAUUCAGCUAGAACUUGGAUGGGAGUAACUUCAUCAUCAGAUGGAACAAAGCUUGUUGCUACUGUAAGUAGCGGUCAGAUAUACACAUCGACGGAUUCAGGGGAAACCUGGAUCGCCCGUGAUUCAAGCAGAAAUUGGCGGGAGGGC
This 369-nucleotide ribosomal RNA is filed under the name uncultured prokaryote. RNAcentral's name for it is "partial 16S ribosomal RNA". The record is from RNAcentral.